AGCGAGAGAGCGUUGCCGCAGGCACGACCCGAAGGGCGAAGCGCGCAGCGCUGAGUAAUCCUUCCCCCACCACCA
Molecule: small RNA, 75 nt
Filed under: Klebsiella pneumoniae
Lineage: Bacteria; Pseudomonadati; Pseudomonadota; Gammaproteobacteria; Enterobacterales; Enterobacteriaceae
Description: partial RtT sRNA
Rfam family: RtT RNA
About the family: This family represents a bacterial cis-regulatory element known as RtT RNA.
Source: RNAcentral